This 253-nucleotide ribosomal RNA is filed under the name uncultured bacterium. RNAcentral's name for it is "partial 16S ribosomal RNA". It matches the Rfam family "Bacterial small subunit ribosomal RNA", at positions 524 to 776 of the family's 1533-position model. The record is from RNAcentral.
GACGAACCGUGCGAACGUUGUUCGGAUUCACUGGGCUUAAAGGGCGCGUAGGCGGCCGCACUAGUCUCGGGUGAAAGCCCACGGCCCAACCGUGGAAGGGCCCGGGAUACUGUGCGGCUCGAGGGGGGCAGGGGCAUGCGGAACUUCCGGUGGAGCGGUGAAAUGCGUAGAUAUCGGAAGGAACGCCGGUGGCGAAAGCGGCGUGCUGGGCCCCUCCUGACGCUGAGGCGCGAAAGCCAGGGGAGCGAACGGG